AUGAACGCUGGCGGCGUGCCUAACACAUGCAAGUCGAGCGAAGCGCUUAAAUUAGAUUUCUUCGGAAUGACGAUUUUUGUGACUGAGCGGCGGACGGGUGAGUAACGCGUGGGUAACCUGCCUCAUACAGGGGGAUAACAGUUAGAAAUGACUGCUAAUACCGCAUAAGACCCCAGCUUCGCAUGAAGCGGUGGUAAAAACUCCGGUGGUAUGAGAUGGACCCGCGUCUGAUUAGCUAGUUGGUAAGGUAACGGCUUACCAAGGCGACGAUCAGUAGCCGACCUGAGAGGGUGACCGGCCACAUUGGGACUGAGACACGGCCCAGACUCCUACGGGAGGCAGCAGUGGGGAAUAUUGCACAAUGGGGGAAACCCUGAUGCAGCGACGCCGCGUGAAGGAUGAAGUAUUUCGGUAUGUAAACUUCUAUCAGCAGGGAAGAAAGUGACGGUACCUGACGAAGAAGCCCCGGCUAACUACGUG
RNAcentral lists this ribosomal RNA (480 nucleotides) under uncultured bacterium. RNAcentral's name for it is "partial 16S ribosomal RNA". It matches the Rfam family "Bacterial small subunit ribosomal RNA", at positions 29 to 507 of the family's 1533-position model. The record is from RNAcentral.